AUGGUCACAAACCACACUUUUUAUACAGAUUCUAAUGGAAGGGAUUUUCUCAAGAGGGUGAGAGACUACAGGGAAGAUUGGGAUCUUCAAGUGACUCAACCGGUUGCAGGAAAUUACUAUCCCGUCAAUCUCGGAAUGUAUGUAACAGAUGGGAAAUAUGAACUUAGUGUCCUUGUUGAUCGUGCUGUUGGAGCUUCAAGCAUUCAGGAUGGUCAAAUAGAAAUGAUGUUCCACAGGCGUAUACUUUAUGAUGAUGGCAGAGGUGUUGGGGAGCCACUCGAUGAAACUGUUUGCGUUGACAGCAAAUGUGAUGGGCUCGUGGCUAGGGGUACUUAUUAUGUCAAUGUCAACAAGCUUGGACAUGGAGCUCACUGGCGAAGGACACAAGGACAAAAAGUUUAUUCACCCUUUCUUCUUGGUUUCGCUCAUGAGGAUGAGAGCAGUUGGAAAUCCUACAGUGUUGUGAAAGCGAGCAUGAUGGAUGCAAAUUACAGUCUUCCUGAUAAUGUGGCAAUCAUCACCUUGCAGUAUCUCGAUGAUGGUACCACACUUCUCCGCUUGGCACAUUUGUUUCAGGCUGCAGAGGACCCACAGUACUCAGUGAUGGCAAAAGUUGAACUGAAAAAAUUCUUUGGAAAGAGAACUAUCAAGGAAUUGACUGAAACUAACCUGUCCGCCAACCAAAAGAAGUCAGCGAUGAGGAAGCUCAAGUGGAGGGUUGUUGGAGACACUGAAAGUAGUCCUGCCCCAAUUACCGGUAGACCGGUUGACAGUCAAGCCCUUGUUGUCGAGCUGGGGCCCAUGGAGAUACGCACAUUCUUGCUGAAACUGUGA
Molecule: ribosomal RNA, 834 nt
Filed under: Triticum aestivum (bread wheat)
Lineage: Eukaryota; Viridiplantae; Streptophyta; Magnoliopsida; Poales; Poaceae
Description: partial small subunit ribosomal RNA
Source: RNAcentral